AGAGUUUGAUCCUGGCUCAGGACGAACGCUGGCGGCGCGCCUAACACAUGCAAGUCGAACGGAGUUGUGUUGAAAGCUUGCUGGAUAUACAACUUAGUGGCGGACGGGUGAGUAACACGUGAGUAACCUGCCUUUCAGAGUGGAAUAACGUUUGGAAACGAACGCUAAUACCGCAUAACAUGAGAGAACGGCAUCGUUCUUUUAUCAAAGAUUUUAUCGCUGAGAGAUGGGCUCGCGGCCGAUUAGGUAGUUGGUGAGAUAACAGCCCACCAAGCCGACGAUCGGUAGCCGGACUGAGAGGUUGAACGGCCACAUUGGGACUGAGACACGGCCCAGACUCCUACGGGAGGCAGCAGUGGGGGAUAUUGCACAAUGGAGGAAACUCUGAUGCAGCGACGCCGCGUGAGGGAAGACGGUCUUCGGAUUGUAAACCUCUGUCCUCUGUGAAGAUAAUGACGGUAGCAGAGGAGGAAGCUCCGGCUAACUACGUGCCAGCAGCCGCGGUAAUACGUAGGGAGCAAGCGUUGUCCGG
RNAcentral lists this ribosomal RNA (532 nucleotides) under uncultured bacterium. Its description in RNAcentral is "bacterial SSU rRNA". It matches the Rfam family "Bacterial small subunit ribosomal RNA", at positions 8 to 548 of the family's 1533-position model. The record is from RNAcentral.